Molecule: ribosomal RNA, 253 nt
Filed under: uncultured prokaryote
Description: partial 16S ribosomal RNA
Rfam family: Bacterial small subunit ribosomal RNA
Source: RNAcentral
ACGAAGGGGGCUAGCGUUGCUCGGAAUCACUGGGCGUAAAGCGCACGUAGGCGGCUUCUUAAGUCAGGGGUGAAAUCCUGGAGCUCAACUCCAGAACUGCCUUUGAUACUGAGGAGCUUGAGUCCGGGAGAGGUGAGUGGAACUGCGAGUGUAGAGGUGAAAUUCGUAGAUAUUCGCAAGAACACCAGUGGCGAAGGCGGCUCACUGGCCCGGUACUGACGCUGAGGUGCGAAAGCGUGGGGAGCAAACAGGA